GACGGUGUCCCAGCCAACUAGAGGAGCCUGUUCUAUAAUCGAUGACCCACGUUUCACCUGACCCCCCCUUGCCCCCACAGUCUGUAUACCUCCGUCGCAAACCCGCCACUUGAGUGACCCUCAGCGGGCUCAACGGCCCUAUCGCCAAUACGUCAGGUCAAGGUGCAGCCCACGGGAGGGGAAGUAAUGGGCUACAAUUUCUAAUCUAGAACAAACAAAAUACUGCAUGAAACACAGUCAUGAAGGAGGAUUUAGUAGUAAAAAGAAAAUAGCACAUUCUUUUUAACACGGCCCUGGGACGUGUACACACCGC
RNAcentral lists this ribosomal RNA (313 nucleotides) under Phrynoderma karaavali. Its description in RNAcentral is "partial small subunit ribosomal RNA". It matches the Rfam family "Bacterial small subunit ribosomal RNA", at positions 912 to 1393 of the family's 1533-position model. The record is from RNAcentral. Lineage: Eukaryota; Metazoa; Chordata; Amphibia; Anura; Dicroglossidae.